RNAcentral lists this transfer RNA (71 nucleotides) under Loxodonta africana (African savanna elephant). It matches the Rfam family "tRNA". Rfam says of the family: Transfer RNA (tRNA) molecules are approximately 80 nucleotides in length. The record is from Rfam by way of RNAcentral. Lineage: Eukaryota; Metazoa; Chordata; Mammalia; Proboscidea; Elephantidae.
GCAACGGUGGUUCAGUGGUAGAAUUCUUGCCUUAUAUUCGGGAGACAUGGGUUUGAUCCCCAGUCAAUGCA